RNAcentral lists this long non-coding RNA (215 nucleotides) under Helianthus annuus (common sunflower). Its description in RNAcentral is "hypothetical non coding rna". The record is from RNAcentral. Lineage: Eukaryota; Viridiplantae; Streptophyta; Magnoliopsida; Asterales; Asteraceae.
GGAGGAGGAGGAGGAGGCGGCGACCGAGAGUGAGGAGGAGGAGGAGGGAUGGAGGCGGCGACCGAGAGUGAGGAGGAGGAGGGAUGGAGGCGGCGGCGACCGUGAGGAAGAGGAGGGAGGCGGCGGCGAGCGUGAGGAGGAGGAGGGAGGCGGCGGCGAGCGUGAGGAGGAGGAGGGAGGCGGCGCGACCGUGAGGAGGAGGAGGGAGGGCGGCG